This 468-nucleotide ribosomal RNA is filed under the name uncultured bacterium. Its description in RNAcentral is "partial 16S ribosomal RNA". It matches the Rfam family "Bacterial small subunit ribosomal RNA", at positions 28 to 507 of the family's 1533-position model. The record is from RNAcentral.
GACGAACGCUGGCGGCGUGCUUAACACAUGCAAGUCGAACGGAAAGGCCCUGCUUUUGUGGGGUGCUCGAGUGGCGAACGGGUGAGUAACACGUGAGUAACCUGCCCUUGACUUUGGGAUAACUUCAGGAAACUGGGGCUAAUACCGUAUAGGAGCUCCUGCUGCAUGGUGGGGGUUGGAAAGUUUCGGCGGUUGGGGAUGGACUCGCGGCUUAUCAGCUUGUUGGUGGGGUAGUGGCUUACCAAGGCUUUGACGGGUAGCCGGCCUGAGAGGGUGACCGGCCACAUUGGGACUGAGAUACGGACCAGACUCCUACGGGAGGCAGCAGGGGGGAAUAUUGCACAAUGGGCGGAAGCCUGAUGCAGCAACGCCGCGUGCGGGAUGACGGCCUUCGGGUUGUAAACCGCUUUCGCCUGUGACGAAGCGUGAGUGACGGUAAUGGGUAAAGAAGCACCGGCUAACUACGUG